This 499-nucleotide ribosomal RNA is filed under the name uncultured bacterium. Its description in RNAcentral is "partial 16S ribosomal RNA". It matches the Rfam family "Bacterial small subunit ribosomal RNA", at positions 30 to 523 of the family's 1533-position model. The record is from RNAcentral.
AUUGAACGCUGGCGGCAUGCCUUACACAUGCAAGUCGAACGGUAACAGGUCUUCGGAUGCUGACGAGUGGCGAACGGGUGAGUAAUACAUCGGAACGUGCCUAGUAGGGGGGGAUAACUACUCGAAAGAGUGGCUAAUACCGCAGGAGAUCCACGGAUGAAAGCAGGGGAUCGCAAGACUUUGUGUUACUAGUGAGGCCGUUGGCAGAAUAGGUCGUUGGUGGGAUAAAAGCUUACCAAGCCGACGAUCUGUAGGUGGUCUGAGAGUGACGAUCAGCCACACUGGGACUGAGACACGGCCCAGACUCCUACGGGAGGCAGCAGUGGGGAAUUUUGGACAAUGGGCGAAAGCCUGAUCCAGCAAUGCCGCGUGCAGGAUGAAGGCCUUCGGGUUGUAAACUGCUUUUGUACGGAACGAAAAGCCCCGGGUUAAUACCCUGGGGUCAUGACGGUACCGUAAGAAUAAGCACCGGCUAACUACGUGCCAGCCGCCGCAGUAA